This 255-nucleotide ribosomal RNA is filed under the name Triticum aestivum (bread wheat). RNAcentral's name for it is "partial small subunit ribosomal RNA". The record is from RNAcentral. Lineage: Eukaryota; Viridiplantae; Streptophyta; Magnoliopsida; Poales; Poaceae.
CAUAUCUCCCUGUGGCUGGCGCUGUGCCACCGGACCUGCCGAACGAUGCAGGAGCUCUGGGACGACGCGCUCACCCCCAACGCCACGCUCCGGCGGCUCAUUGCCGUAUGGUUCUCUCGUCGAUACACCCGCUUCAAGAAGCGCUCGGCUGACUACCACGGCCGCGCCGCCGACCUUGUCCACGGUCUCCGCGGCACGACCGUCCCGAGGAGGCAUCCCUUCACAAGAGAAAUGACUACAGGACUCCAUUCUUAG